Molecule: ribosomal RNA, 260 nt
Filed under: uncultured bacterium
Lineage: Bacteria
Description: partial 16S ribosomal RNA
Rfam family: Bacterial small subunit ribosomal RNA
Source: RNAcentral
UACGGACCCGGGCGAACGUUAUUCGGAAUCACUGGGCUUAAAGCGUGCGUAGGCGGCCUGGAAAGUUGGGUGUGAAAUCCCUCGGCUCAACCGAGGAAUGGCGCUCAAAACUCCCAGGCUUGAGUGAGAUAGGGGUGAGCGGAACUGAUGGUGGAGCGGUGAAAUGCGUUGAUAUCCAUAGGAACUCCGGUGGCGAAGGCGGCACGCUGGACCCCCUUCUGACGCUGAGGCGCGAAAGCCAGGGGAGCAAACGGGAUUAG